GAUGAACGCUAGCGAUAGGCUUAACACAUGCAAGUCGAGGGGCAGCACGGAAUAGCAAUAUUUUGGUGGCGACCGGCGCACGGGUGAGUAACACGUAUGCAAUCUACCCAUAACUGUGGAAUAACCCGUCGAAAGGCGGCCUAAUACCGCAUAACAACAGUUGACCGCAUGGUUUACUGUUUAAAGCUUUAUCGGUUAUGGAUGGGCAUGCGUUCCAUUAGGUAGUUGGCGGGGCAACGGCCCACCAAGCCUGCGAUGGAUAGGGGUUCUGAGAGGAAGGUCCCCCACACUGGUACUGGGACACGGACCAGACUCCUACGGGAGGCAGCAGUGAGGAAUAUUGGUCAAUGGGCGAGAGCCUGAACCAGCCAAAUCGCGUGAAGGAUGAAGGUAUUAUGUAUUGUAAACUUCUUUUACAGGGGAAUAAAGUGCGGGACGUGUCCCGUUUUGUAUGUACCCUGGGAAUAAGGAUCGGCUAACUCCGUGCCAGCAGCCGCCGUAA
This 502-nucleotide ribosomal RNA is filed under the name uncultured bacterium. RNAcentral's name for it is "partial 16S ribosomal RNA". It matches the Rfam family "Bacterial small subunit ribosomal RNA", at positions 28 to 523 of the family's 1533-position model. The record is from RNAcentral.